This 585-nucleotide ribosomal RNA is filed under the name uncultured bacterium. RNAcentral's name for it is "bacterial SSU rRNA". It matches the Rfam family "Bacterial small subunit ribosomal RNA", at positions 153 to 714 of the family's 1533-position model. The record is from RNAcentral.
GAAAGGCGGACUAAUACCGAAUGACAUCUUGAAUAUUUAGGUAUUCAUGAUCAAAGAUGGCCUCUACAUGUAAGCUAUUGUUUGGGGAUGAGCCCGCGUACCAUUAGCUUGUUGGUAGGGUAAUGGCCUACCAAGGCUACGAUGGUUAGCUGGUCUGAGAGGAUGAUCAGCCACACUGGAACUGACACACGGUCCAGACUCCUACGGGAGGCAGCAGUGAGGAAUUUUGCGCAAUGGGGGAAACCCUGACGCAGCAACGCCGCGUGAGUGAUGAAGGCUUUCGGGUCGUAAAGCUCUGUCAAGUGGGAAGAACUCAUAUGGUGAUAAUACCGCCAUAUGCUGACGGUACCACUGAAGGAAGCACCGGCUAACUCCGUGCCAGCAGCCGCGGUAAUACGGGGGGUGCGAGCGUUAUUCGGAAUUACUGGGCGUAAAGAGCGCGUAGGCGGUCUUUUAAGUCAGGUGUGAAAGCCCGGGGCUCAACCCCGGAAGUGCACUUGAAACUAAGAGACUUGAGUAUGGGAGAGGGAAGUGGAAUUCCUGGUGUAGCGGUGAAAUGCGUAGAUAUCAGGAGGAACAUCAGUG